CAAUGUCAUUCCGUUCAGUAAGGCAAAUGCUGCAGUCAACUUUACGGCUCAAGUGAAGGCACACCACCAGAUGCUGCGCAUCCCGAGAGCAGAAGAGGAGGCUGGAGGGCGCUCUGUUGAACAGGAACAUGCCUUGACUUGUACCGGCUUGUCUGAAGGGAGCUCUGGCUUGUGGUCAACAGCAGCUGCUGUGUGCAUUUCACUCAGCGCUGACCCGGCAAGAGGACAACAACAGCUCAAACCUUCUGCUUUCUGGGAAUACUGGACAAACACAGGUAUCUCUGUAUAUCUGCGCUGACCAAACUGACGGCCUUACAGCCCUCAGACGAGCUUGUUUACCGGAGGACUUCCCUUCACUGGAAAGCCCCUCAACUUCACCCACAGUUCAGAUCGUCAUUAGAACACACAAAGAAGGCUCAGCCUGCUCUGACGACAGAAACCACGGGCAUAGUAGUGGCUUCAGCAGAUGUCCUUGUCAGGAGUAGAAGAUCAGCGCAGACGCUGAGGACGAGCGCUCUUCACCAUCAUCAAGAAUGUGGAAGCAGAAUCAAAUAAAGGGAAAACUUAGCAUUUGUGUCAGCAGCUUCCAGUGAAAGAUGAGUGGACUUUCGGAGGGGCAGCUCACAGAGGAAAAAUCUUGAGCUUUCUGACGCAGGAGCUUCCAAGAAGUAGGACAUGAAUAUGCAAAAUGAGUCCUCGAGAGAAGACUCUCUUUGGGCAAGCGAAAGGAGGAUACAGCGGAGGAAGAGGAGAGAGAGGAGGAGGGAGAGGAGCAGUGAGGGAAGCUGGCUGCUGUGAGUGUUUCUCUGGCAGUGUCUUAGCUGGUUGUUGUGAGGAGUGAGAACGAAGCAAUCAGCAAGUAUACUGCCGCAGAAACUCGUCACCAUACGAGGCCCAUCCAUCCAGCGCAGAGAUCCCCCACACAGUCAGCGGAAAGCUCCAGCCUCUUCCAUCAGCCCUCCCUUCAUUCGGCACGGCUUGCUUCUGACUUUAGUCAUAGAAUAGAAUCAGUUAUGAUUCUUUGGGGAAUUUAUAUGAUGAAUCAUGAAAUCUCAAAUCUGACCAUAAUUCAUUUUGUACAGUACCUUGUGCAUGUACAGUAUAGUAUUUGUAUCUGGCUACAUAUCGUAUAUCGUAUAUAUUUUAUGUAUUAAAAUAUGUUCUCUUUUAUUGGAUGAGGGGGCUAGGAGUAAGAUCAAUUUCUGUCAUGCCUCACGGGCCACGUUUGUCACUCGGGAAGCUCUAAUCUAUAACAUAGUAUUGAACGACCCCUUUUUUAUACAAGCAUUUGAAUACCCUCUACUAAUAUCUAUCUCAAUGCACCACAGAGACCCUUGUGUAUUAUUAGUGUGAGAAGCAAAGUAUUAUCAUUACAAUCAAGUAAAAUCAACUGAGUUAUAAUUGAUUGUAACUGAAAUUGGUGCAGCUUCAGAUCAGUGUCUCACUGAUGCCUCUACUGUACAUAACAGUGAAUUCAUUUCAUGAAUCCUCUGCAUUAAAGCUUUUCUGACUGGA
Long non-coding RNA from Pygocentrus nattereri (red-bellied piranha), 1515 nucleotides. RefSeq lists it as uncharacterized. The transcript is spliced from 5 exons. The record is from RefSeq and is a predicted model, not a curated record. Lineage: Eukaryota; Metazoa; Chordata; Actinopteri; Characiformes; Serrasalmidae.